This 497-nucleotide ribosomal RNA is filed under the name uncultured bacterium. RNAcentral describes it as "partial 16S ribosomal RNA". It matches the Rfam family "Bacterial small subunit ribosomal RNA", at positions 28 to 507 of the family's 1533-position model. The record is from RNAcentral.
GAUGAACGCUGGCGGCGUGCCUAAUACAUGCAAGUCGAGCGAACAGACGAGGAUCUUGCUCCUCUGACGUUAGCGGCGGACGGGUGAGUAACACGUAGAUAACCUACCUAUAUGACUUGGAUAACUUCGGGAAACCGUAGCUAAUACCGGAUAAUAUAUUGAACCGCAUGGUUCAAUAGUGAUAUACGGUUUUUGUGUCACUUAUAGGUGUAUCCGCGCGGCAUUAGCUAGUUGGUAAGGUAACGGCUUACCAAGUGAACGAUCGGUAACCGACCGGGGAGGGUGAUAGGCCACCCUGGAGGUGAGACACGGUCCAGACGCCUGCGGGAGGCAGCAGUAGGGAAUCUUACGCAAUGGGCGAAAGCAUGGCGGAGCAAGGGCGAGUGAGUGAUGAAGGUCUCCGGAUCGUAAAACUCUGUUAUUAGGGAAGAACAAAUGUGAAAAUAAAUAUGGACGUCUUGACGGUACCUGAACAGAAAGCCACGGCUAACUACGUG